RNAcentral lists this ribosomal RNA (1441 nucleotides) under uncultured bacterium. Its description in RNAcentral is "bacterial SSU rRNA". It matches the Rfam family "Bacterial small subunit ribosomal RNA". The record is from RNAcentral.
UAACACAUGCAAGUCGAACGGAAACGAAACUAGCUUGCUAGUAGGCGUCGAGUGGCGGACGGGUGAGUAACGCGUAGGAAUCUGCCUGAUAGUGGGGGAUAGCCCGAAGAAAUUCGGAUUAAUACCGCAUAAUCUAUUCGUAGUAAAGUGGGGGAGUUGCGAGCCUCACGCUAUCAGAUGGGCCUGCGUAAGAUUAGCUUGUUGGUAGGGUAAAAGCCUACCAAGGCUACGAUCUUUAGCUGGUCUGAGAGGAUGAUCAGCCACAUCGGGACUGAGACACGGCCCGGACUCCUACGGGAGGCAGCAGUGGGGAAUAUUGGACAAUGGGGGCAACCCUGAUCCAGCAAUACCGCGUGUGUGAAGAAGGCCUGAGGGUUGUAAAGCACUUUCAAUUGUGAAGAAAAGUUAACGGUUAAUAACCGUUGACCUUGACGUUAACUUUAGAAGGAGCACCGGCUAACUCCGUGCCAGCAGCCGCGGUAAUACGGAGGGUGCAAGCGUUAAUCGGAAUUACUGGGCGUAAAGCGUGCGUAGGCGGUUUACUAAGUCAGAUGUGAAAGCCCCGGGCUUAACCUGGGAACUGCAUUUGAAACUGGUCAACUAGAGUAUGGUAGAGGAAAGUGGAAUUUCUGGUGUAGCGGUGAAAUGCGUAGAUAUCAGAAGGAACAUCAAUGGCGAAGGCAGCUUUCUGGACCAAUACUGACGCUGAGGUACGAAAGCGUGGGUAGCAAACAGGAUUAGAUACCCUGGUAGUCCACGCCGUAAACGAUGAUAACUAGCCGUUGGGGGGAUUUGCCCCUUAGUGGCGAAGCUAACGCGUUAAGUUAUCCGCCUGGGGAGUACGGCCGCAAGGCUAAAACUCAAAGGAAUUGACGGGGACCCGCACAAGCGGUGGAGCAUGUGGUUUAAUUCGAUGCAACGCGAAGAACCUUACCUGGUCUUGACAUCCUGCGAACUUUCUAGAAAUAGAUUGGUGCCUUCGGGAACGCAGUGACAGGUGCUGCAUGGCUGUCGUCAGCUCGUGUCGUGAGAUGUUGGGUUAAGUCCCGUAACGAGCGCAACCCCUAUCCUUAUUUGCCAGCACAUUAUGGUGGGAACUAUAAGGAGACUGCCGGUGAUAAACCGGAGGAAGGCGGGGACGACGUCAAGUCAUCAUGGCCCUUACGACCAGGGCUACACACGUGCUACAAUGGGAAGGACAAAGAGCCGCGAAGCCGCGAGGUGUAGCUAAUCUCAUAAAUCUUUUCGUAGUCCGGAUUGGAGUCUGCAACUCGACUCCAUGAAGUCGGAAUCGCUAGUAAUCGUAGAUCAGAAUGCUACGGUGAAUACGUUCCCGGGUCUUGUACACACCGCCCGUCAUACCAUGGGAGUGGGUUGCACCAGAAGUGGCUAGUCUAACUUUGUGAGGACGGUCACCACGGUGUGAUUCAUGACUGGGGUA